RNAcentral lists this small nuclear RNA (107 nucleotides) under Ursus americanus (American black bear). The record is from RNAcentral. Lineage: Eukaryota; Metazoa; Chordata; Mammalia; Carnivora; Ursidae.
GUGCUCAUUUCAUCAGCACGUACACUAAAAUUGGAACGGUAUGGAGAAGAUUAGCAUGGCCUCUGUGCAAGGAAGACAUGCAAAUCUGUGAAGCAUUCAUUAUUAAA